Long non-coding RNA from Anguilla anguilla (European eel), 564 nucleotides. RefSeq lists it as uncharacterized. The record is from RefSeq and is a predicted model, not a curated record. Lineage: Eukaryota; Metazoa; Chordata; Actinopteri; Anguilliformes; Anguillidae. The transcript is spliced from 2 exons.
UAAUAUGCUAUGUCCAGUUAAAGCUAAGAGUGCUGCUCUAAGUUAACCUUUAUUUUAUUAACCUUAUUAUAUAGUACACGUGUCUGGAUUGCACAGAGAUGCGUCAGGGGAAGACAGUACCUACUAUCUGCUCGCACACAUUUUGCAGGAAUUGUCCUCCUCCGAUGGACUGUGGAGUGAAAACGAAAGAAGAAGCACUGGCCUGAUACUGGCCUAUUUCACAAGACUCGGUAGACCACAGUAAUUCUGCUGUCUCCAAAACAUGAUGUGAAAUGCUUUAAGGGGAAUUUACGGGAUCUGUACGAAUGACGCAAAAUUGCCAUGUCAACUAAGCCAGCUUUACCAUUGGCUAAAAUGGAGGACAAAACCCAUGGAAAUCCUCUGUUUGACUGGAGGCCACGUAACGGCAGUGAGCCUGGGGUUUUUAAAAGCACGACCGGAAGCCGGAGGGAGAGAGAGAAGCGCCGGCGAGAAGACGGCGAGAAAAAGCGCUGUGAUUUAUUGUAACCGAGAAAAAGCCACGGGCUUUAAAUAAAAUAGCACGCAAGUGCUACGAACUGGAAA